RNAcentral lists this ribosomal RNA (611 nucleotides) under Xenotrichula velox. RNAcentral's name for it is "bacterial SSU rRNA". It matches the Rfam family "Eukaryotic small subunit ribosomal RNA", at positions 1142 to 1771 of the family's 1831-position model. The record is from RNAcentral. Lineage: Eukaryota; Metazoa; Gastrotricha; Chaetonotida; Xenotrichulidae.
GCAAAGCUGAAACUUAAAGGAAUUGACGGAAGGGCACCACAAGGAGUGGAGCCUGCGGCUUAAUUUGACUCAACACGGGGAAGCUUACCCGGGCCGGACACCGCUAGGAUUGACAGACCGAUAGCUCUUUCUUGAUUCGGUGUAUGGUGGUGCAUUGCCGUUCUUAGUCGGUGGAGCGAUUUGUCUGGUUAAUUCCGAUAACGGACGAGACUCCAACCUGCUAAAUAGUUAGCUUGUCCUUUCGAGGCAAGCGCUUAACUUCUUAGAGGGAGAAGUGGAAAUCACACAAAGCUACCAUGAAACGGAGCAAUAACAGGUCUGUGAUGCCCUUCGAUGUCCGGGGCCGCACGCGCGCUACAAUGAGCAAGUCAACGUGUUCAUCUGGUCUGAAAAGAYUGGUUAAUCCGUUGAAUUUUGCUCGUACUUGGAAUUGGGCUUUGUAAUUAUCGCCCAUGAACGAGGAAUUCCUAGUAUGCGCGAGUCAUCAGCUCGCGUARACUACGUCCCUUGCCCUUUGUACACACCGCCCAGKCGCUACUACCGAUUGAAUGUCUUAGUGAGGACCUCCGAAUCUGGGGCCAGCAAACAUCUCACGAUGUCGGCUUGGGCUU